AUCAGGCACUUUAAAACAUCAACCUCAGUUCUGCGAUCAGGAACCAGAGGUGACAGGGACAAUCUUGUAAAGAUAGGUGUCUCAAAGAACCAAUACUGCUGCCCGUAAAAGCAGGUGAGAAACUUCCAAGGAAAGCAAUGAAAAUCCUGGAAUCUUAAAUUCUUAACACCAGACUGAGUGCAGCACAAUCAGGACUGUAACAAACAACAAAAUGACGCUCCAGACCACUAGGAAGUUUUACUCCAACUCUGAAUUACCGAAGUCAAGGGACAAUAAAAACUUCCAGUUCUGCAGAAUCACAGAUAAUCAGCUCUGAGAAACCUGCCUGUAUUUAGGCAACAGGCCACGUAAUCCAAAAGCUUCUCACAAUGAAAAAAAGCCAAUGCAAAUUUGAAGAUGCCAUUUUUCAGAAAUGCAGAAAUCUACUUCGUCCGGUCACUACCUGCUACAAAUGUUACAUACAGUUAUUUGGUACCACUUACUUUAUUCUUGCAGUGUUACCUGAAAUAAAGGGUAAAUAAAAUAA
Cygnus atratus (black swan) is the source of this 526-nucleotide long non-coding RNA. RefSeq lists it as uncharacterized. The transcript has 3 exons. Lineage: Eukaryota; Metazoa; Chordata; Aves; Anseriformes; Anatidae. The record is from RefSeq and is a predicted model, not a curated record.